RNAcentral lists this ribosomal RNA (434 nucleotides) under uncultured bacterium. Its description in RNAcentral is "partial 16S ribosomal RNA". It matches the Rfam family "Bacterial small subunit ribosomal RNA", at positions 29 to 507 of the family's 1533-position model. The record is from RNAcentral.
AGCGAACGCUGGCGGCAGGCCUAACACAUGCAAGUCGAACGAACCUUUCGGGGUUAGUGGCGGACGGGUGAGUAACACGUGGGAACGUGCCUUUAGGUUCGGAAUAACUCAGGGAAACUUGUGCUAAUACCGAAUGUGCCCUUCGGGGGAAAGAUUUAUCGCCUUUAGAGCGGCCCGCGUCUGAUUAGCUAGUUGGUUGAGGUAAUGGCUCACCAAGGCGACGAUCAGUAGCUGGUCUGAGAGGAUGAUCAGCCACAUUGGGACUGAGACACGGCCCAAACUCCUACGGGAGGCAGCAGUGGGGAAUCUUGCGCAAUGGGCGAAAGCCUGACGCAGCCAUGCCGCGUGAAUGAUGAAGGUCUUAGGAUUGUAAAAUUCUUUCACCGGGGACGAUAACGACGGUACCCGGAGAAGAAGCCCCGGCUAACUUCGUG